RNAcentral lists this ribosomal RNA (501 nucleotides) under uncultured bacterium. RNAcentral's name for it is "bacterial SSU rRNA". It matches the Rfam family "Bacterial small subunit ribosomal RNA", at positions 28 to 526 of the family's 1533-position model. The record is from RNAcentral.
GACGAACGCUGGCGGCGUGCUUAACACAUGCAAGUCGAACGGGCGCUGUUUUGGAAAGGCUUCGGCCAGGAAGAAAUAGUUGCUAGUGGCGGACGGGUGAGUAACACGUGAGCAACCUGCCCUGAAGAGUGGAAUAACAACGAGAAAUCGUUGCUAAUACCGCAUAAGACCACAGAGUCGCAUGGCUUAGGGGUCAAAGAUUUAUCGCUUCAGGAUGGGCUCGCGUCCCAUUAGCUAGUUGGUAAGGUAAAGGCCCACCAAGGCGACGAUGGGUAGCCGAGCUGAGAGGCUGAUCGGCCACACUGGGACUGAGACACGGCCCAGACUCCUACGGGAGGCAGCAGUGGGGAAUAUUGGGCAAUGGGCGCAAGCCUGACCCAGCAACGCCGCGUGAAGGAAGAAGGCUAUACGGUUGUAAACUUCUGUUAUAAGGGACGAAACAAAUGACGGUACCUUAGAAGAAAGCCCCGGCUAACUACGUGCCAGCAGCCGCCGUAAAAC